AGCAUAUCAAUAAGCGGAGGAAAAGAAACUAACAAGGAUUCCCCUAGUAACUGCGAGUGAAGCGGGAAAAGCUCAAAUUUAAAAUCUGGCAGCCUCUGGCUGUCCGAGUUGUAAUCUAGAGAAGCGUUAUCCGCGCUGGACCGUGUACAAGUCUCCUGGAAUGGAGCGUCAUAGAGGGUGAGAAUCCCGUCUUUGACACGGACUGCCAGGGCUUUGUGAUGCGCUCUCAAAGAGUCGAGUUGUUUGGGAAUGCAGCUCAAAAUGGGUGGUAAAUUCCAUCUAAAGCUAAAUAUUGGCGAGAGACCGAUAGCGAACAAGUACCGUGAGGGAAAGAUGAAAAGAACUUUGGAAAGAGAGUUAAACAGUACGUGAAAUUGCUGAAAGGGAAACGCUUGAAGUCAGUCGCGUUGGCCGGGGAUCAACCUUGCUUUUGCUUGGUGUACUUUCUGGUUGACGGGUCAGCAUCAAUUUUGAUCAUUGGAAAAAGAUUAGGGGAAUGUGGCAUCUUCGGAUGUGUUAUAGCCCUUGGUUGUAUACAAUGAUUGGGAUUGAGGAACUCAGCACGCCGCAAGGCCGGGUUUUUAACCACGUACGUGCUUAGGAUGCUGGCAUAAUGGCUUUAAUCGACCCGUCUUGAAACACGGACCAAGGAGUCUAACAUGCCUGCGAGUGUUUGGGUGGAAAACCCGAGCGCGUAAUGAAAGUGAAAGUUGAGAUCCCUGUCGUGGGGAGCAUCGACGCCCGGACCAGAUCUUUUGUGACGGUUCCGCGGUAGAGCAUGUAUGUUGGGACCCGAAAGAUGGUGAACUAUGCCUGAAUAGGGUGAAGCCAGAGGAAACUCUGGUGGAGGCUCGUAGCGAUUCUGACGUGCAAAUCGAUCGUCAAAUUUGGGUAUANGGGGCGAAAGACUAAUCGAACCAUCUAGUAGCUG
RNAcentral lists this ribosomal RNA (931 nucleotides) under Thaxterogaster castoreus. RNAcentral's name for it is "LSU rRNA". It matches the Rfam family "Eukaryotic large subunit ribosomal RNA", at positions 37 to 953 of the family's 3401-position model. The record is from RNAcentral. Lineage: Eukaryota; Fungi; Basidiomycota; Agaricomycetes; Agaricales; Cortinariaceae.